GUUUUCAGCCAUACACCUGAAUGUGCCAAAUCUCAUCUGAUCUUGGAAACUAAGCAGGGUUGAGCCUGGCAAGUCCUGGGAUGGGAACA
Molecule: ribosomal RNA, 89 nt
Filed under: Echinops telfairi (small Madagascar hedgehog)
Lineage: Eukaryota; Metazoa; Chordata; Mammalia; Afrosoricida; Tenrecidae
Source: RNAcentral